Molecule: ribosomal RNA, 554 nt
Filed under: uncultured archaeon
Lineage: Archaea
Description: bacterial SSU rRNA
Rfam family: Archaeal small subunit ribosomal RNA
Source: RNAcentral
AGGCGAGCAGCAGGCGCGAAACCUUUACACUGCACGACAGUGCGAUAAGGGAAUCCCAAGUGCGCAGGCAUAGAGCCUGCGCUUUUGUACACCGUAGGGAGGUGUACGAAUAAGGGCUGGGCAAGACCGGUGCCAGCCGCCGCGGUAAUACCGGCAGCCCGAGUGAUGGCCGAUCUUAUUGGACCUAAAGCGUCCGUAGCUGGCCGCACAAGUCCACCGGAAAAUCCACCCGCUCAACGGGUGGGCGUCCGGUGGAAACUGUGUGGCUUGGGACCGGAAGGCGCGACGGGUACGUCCGGGGUAGGAGUGAAAUCCCGUAAUCCUGGACGGACCGCCGAUGGCGAAAGCACGUCGCGAGGACGGAUCCGACAGUGAGGGACGAAAGCCAGGGUCUCGAACCGGAUUAGAUACCCGGGUAGUCCUGGCCGUAAACAAUGUCUGUUAGGUGUGGCUCCCACUACGAGUGGGUGCUGUGCCGUAGGGAAGCCGCUAAACAGACCGCCUGGGAAGUACGUCCGCAAGGAUGAAACUUAAAGGAAUUGGCGGGGGAGCAC